GAUGAACGCUCGCGGCAGGCCUAAUACAUGCAAGUCGAACGAGAUUACGAGGCUUGCUUCUUAUGAAAGUGGCGCACGGGUGCGUAACGCGUAUGCAACCUACCUUAAUCAGGGGGAUAGCCCGAAGAAAUUCGGAUUAAGACCGCAUAAAAACACAGGAUAGCAUUAUCCAAUGUUCAAAUAUUUAUAGGAUUAAGAUGGGCAUGCGUGUCAUUAGCUAGUUGGCGGGGUAACGGCCCACCAAGGCGACGAUGACUAGGGGAUCUGAGAGGAUGACCCCCCACACUGGUACUGAGACACGGACCAGACUCCUACGGGAGGCAGCAGUAAGGAAUAGUGGUCAAUGGAGGGAACUCUGAACCAGCCAUGCCGCGUGCAGGAAGACAGCCCUCUGGGUCGUAAACUGCUUUUAUUCGGGAAUAAACCUUUCUACGUGUAGGAAGCUGAAUGUACCGAAGGAAUAAGGAUCGGCUAACUCCGUG
Molecule: ribosomal RNA, 482 nt
Filed under: uncultured bacterium
Lineage: Bacteria
Description: partial 16S ribosomal RNA
Rfam family: Bacterial small subunit ribosomal RNA
Source: RNAcentral